Molecule: ribosomal RNA, 253 nt
Filed under: uncultured bacterium
Lineage: Bacteria
Description: partial 16S ribosomal RNA
Rfam family: Bacterial small subunit ribosomal RNA
Source: RNAcentral
UACGUAGGGUGCGAGCGUUAAUCGGAAUUACUGGGCGUAAAGCGUGCGCAGGCGGUUCGUUGUGUCGGCGGUGAAAGCCCCGGGCUUAACCUGGGAAUGGCCGUUGAAACUGGCGAACUGGAGUGUGGCAGAGGGGGGUGGAGUUCCGCGUGUAGCAGUGAAAUGCGUGGAGAUGCGGAGGAACACCGAUGGCGAAGGCAGCCCCCUGGGCUAACACUGACGCUCAGGCACGAAAGCGUGGGGAGCAAACAGG